CAGUGGCUUAUUUAAAGCAUGUUGUUCCUAAUCCAAUACACAUACAUGGUUCCCAGUCAGUCCUUUUAAAGUAUAGGAGCUGGUACUUCAGUCGAGUGACUCACUGUAUCAGCCACCAGUUAGUCAAACAAAAUGUGCUUUCUCUGGGAAAGUAAAUUCAAUGCAGCAGUGUUAGUCACCAUAUGCUGGACUAGUUGACCAUAAUGUAGUCAUAUCCCCAAAACAUGAUCUUUUCCACCUUGUUUCUGAGAUUUUCCUCAAAGUUGUACGUGUUCUGUACAGCAAAUGAUAGUGAAUUGGUUUGGUGCAGUUAGUGAGUAGCCUUUACCUUUUAAGGUCUGUAAAAGGAUCUCAUCCUUCUCUUUAGCCUUAAAGAUUGAAGAAAGCUUUCAGGUAACUGUUGAUUUGAAGAGUUCAUUGUGAGUCAGGCAGUGCACCUAAUUUGUCUCAUUUUUUUCAAGAGGAAUUAUUGGGAUUGAAAGUUCAUCUUUUCAACUGUGCUUUGUUUAAUGAGUUCUUGUAGCUGUUCUGGUAUUUAUCUGUGUUUUGCAGAGCUGGGAUGAGACCAUAGGCCCAAGUGGGGAAAACUCUUCCUCUGGAAGAGGAGGGGUUUUAUGGUUUUAUUACAUCAUUUUGGCAAAGAGUGUCAGGAGGCCUGACUAGGCAUGAAACACUGAAAAUAGUCACAAAGGGAAUACAGCCCAAGAAAUAAAACCAGCGUAGUGAAGGUAUCAGGCUGAAUAACUUUGUUGGCAUUGUUAAACUGAUUUAUUCCCUAAUACCCUGCCAGGGGAAUUGGGGAGUGACACACCUACACCCCUAUUGCUGAGUGUCAAAUUUGGCACUUGAUUUCUUCUAACUGCUGGAAGGAAAGCACUUUGUCUAGUGUCUGGGGAAGAUUUUGGUAAGGAGAGAUGCUCCCAUGUACUAGUACAGUUCUGUGUCAAAUGUGUUGAUGUGACAGACAAGCCUUACCAAUGCAUUGAGGAAAUCGAUAGACCUCAGAGCAGCCUGUUCUCUUCUCAGGGAGUGAUGAAAUGCUGAGAACUCGCUAUCUGGCAUGUGUCAGCCUCAUUCAGAAAUGGGAAGUCAUGGAAAUCUGCUGGAAGGAUGUUACCUGCUUUUUAUAAACACACCUCUCUCAAAAAUGGAGAAGUGAGCACUCAAAAUACCUACUGCUAUACUAAUAGCAUGGGACUUUGGGAUUGGUGAAGAAGUGAAAGGGAAAUUGAGUAGGUUUUUUGACAGUCUUCUAGAUUAAAAAUAGCUUUGGAACAUACAUUUUUUAUUUAGUAAACUCUUGAGUAAUCUCACAGGCACCUGUAAAAUUCAUAUUCAGCUGUGUUAUCUGUUUUUAGACUGUAUCUGAAUUUAGGUAUUCAGUGGAUAGUGACAGACCAGGUAGUGCUGGAUUUCCAUAGUCUAUCUUACAGCGACAUCAAGACAAAACUAAUGAUGUCUGUCUGGAGAGAAUAAAUGAUGCAAGGGAGAGAACUGGCUGCUUUUACAGUUGCCUUCAAAGGGCACAGUUGCAGUUUGUUUUUGUCUCUCUCGGGCAUAGAUAUCCUGUAGUGUAUAGGCAUAUUGUCGUGAAGCCAAACUGCUUUGGUCCUGCCUUAGGAAAAUACUUGAAAUACAGUGAAUAUGGGAAUGCUGAUUUUUCCCUGAGACAUUUUUACAUGCAUAAUACAAAUAGUGUAUAUGUAAUAUAUAUGCCUGUAUGCACAACCUUUAUACAAACAGAUGUGUAAAUGUGUCUAUAUAUAGAUAGUUUUGUACACAAACUGACGGAUACUGUAAGAGAACGCCUUUGGUCAUUUGACAGCAUGGGAGUAUAUGGCUUGUAACAGCUGAAACAGAUGUACCUUGAGCUGUCUUCUAUGGGUCUGGAGGAGAUGACUCAGGAUUUCACUGAUGUUAGUUCAGAUUUGAAAUCCUGGGAUCCCUUUGCUGACAUUCCAGGCUUAAGUGUGGCAGCCCGAGAGGUUAAACAGCUCAUCUGAAGUCUGCCUCUGAUUAUUGAAAAUGCAAAGCAGGAGUUUGUGCAGUCCCACAGGCUGGUGUUAAGUCAUCAGAAAUGACUGCUGCCUUGCACAUGCUGGGAGAAGUCACACAGGUAUCAAAUCCCCCUCACUGGCUCUUGAAAAACGUAUGUGCUAUGAAUGUGUUAUGGAUCAGGCUAGAAGGGACAUUUAUGAUCUUUUCCUGCAUAACGCACUUCUUCGUUUUUGCAUUAAAUCUAUGGUUUAUCCCUGAGCACAUAGUUGUAGCUUUUGGGAAAGCAGCCCUGUUCUAAGAUGUUAAAGUAAGACACAAUUAAGAGCUCAAGUUGUUCAGUUAAUUGCUUUAAAAAAACUGUUUCUCGUUUCUUAUCUGAGAUCUAAGUUAGUGCAGCUUCAGCUUCCAACCCUUGGGGCCUGCUUCUGUCAGUUACUGAACUUCUUCCCUUUCAGCUUCCUUCAGCCAGUGACAAUCAACUCCCUUCUACAUGAAUUAUUUUUUAAUACAUAUGUUAAGGCAGCUUUAAAAUACAUGUUGUUAAGGCAGCGUUUGUAGCUAUACAGCUCUUUCACGUUGCAAGGUGUCAGUAUCUUUUUGUUGCUGACCAUUUGUACAACAGAUUUGGGCAGAGUCAUCGACAUCCAUUUUCACAAGUACUAGGCAAAGAGACUACCUCAGUAUUCACCUGGUGUGUAUUCUCUUGCACAGUCUUUUCAUCUUCUCAGGGAAACUUGUCUGUCAGUAUUCAGUGCAUGGAAACACUUCCUCUGUGUCACUGUAAAAGAGGAGGAUUGAUGGCAUGCUGAGAGGAAUGUUUUUCCCCUUGUGAAAAUAUAGCAUGUCUUCUUUCGUGGCUCUGAAGUGCCAAAACUGAGAAAUCUCAUCGGAAUAACUGUGUGUUUACCAAGGAUCCAGCAUGUUGCUUCCAACAGGCACUCCAGGUGCCGAUACUCCUGAUUUAUACCUGCAUUGUUAUAUUUCCCAAUUGUCUGUUUGGUUUUAAAGAACAUGCAGCAUCACAGCCCUGUGUAAAACGGAGUCUUGGUUUUGCCUUUUGUCCCCUAGCUAUUGUCUGCUGCCAUCAGCGAAGGGACUUAUAAUUGUUUCCCUAGCUUUUCCAUGGCUAGAUCAGUAGUAAAGCUUGUAGCUGUUAUUUUGAUACCUUAAUGAUGAAUUAUUUUCCAUAGGUUUGUGUAUCAGUUUGGUUCUGGUCCAGGUUUUAGGAAGCAGCAUGGGUUUUAACUCUAGCUGAAUUUUAGCAUCUCUGGUUGUCACUGAUGAUAUUUCUAGUCCAUUGACUUCAUGUAGCUUUAUACACUGUUAUGAUGUUUGUAGACAUUGUGGUUUUAUUCUGAGGAAGGGGGGAUCAUACAUUUGUAAGAAUUUUAAGGGGAAAAUUCAGGAGAGUUGGAAUUUAUAUAUGACAUACUGCAGUUAAACAUUAUUCUAGACAAUUCAUUAUGUGCUUAUGGCUGUCAUUUUUAUGGUCUCUAGUUUUUAAUAGAUCAUCCUUAUAGUUGUGGUUUCUAGUCCUGCUCAAAUCAUGUCAUUCUGAUUCCUUACCAGAGUAAUGCUAGCACAUGAGCAAAAUUCCCCCAAAAGACACUGAGAACAGUAUUGCCAGCCUCAUUUCACCUGGGAUAAUGCUAUAUUUUCAUGAACUGCAACCUCAGAUAAAUCACACAGUGCCAACACCGGCAAUACACAAAGCCAGAAGCUGUUGGGAAAGAGAGGUUGUUUGGACAAACUUCUGCUUGUGUCACUUCCAUGCUGUUGUGACAGCUGAUGAAUCUCUUUUCCUUUUUUGCCCUUUUUUUACUUGAGAAAAUACAUCAUUGGUUGGCUUUUGCUAUUUUAAUUUAUUAAAGGCUUCUCUUGGUGAUAAAAUUUUUAAUUCAGGUUUGUUUCUGUGGAGGUGGAUUUAUAAUGUUCAUGGUGUUAUGGAGUCUGAAGCCGCAUCUUCCCCUUGGGAUUUUAAGUGCGCUAUAUAGCCUUAGUUCCUUAGGAAACUAAGCUUAAAGAAAAGUCUCUCUUCUCAAUUGCUUGCAGUCUUUGGAGGUUGUUCUAAUGAGUCUUCUAGGAUGAACAUUUUCCUUGAAUUACUUUAGGACUGUUGCCUUUACAAGUGAAAGCACUAAUUUAAUUCCUUUAGAAAUCCAUUGAUAAUUGAGAACAGUUGCUGACUACGUAUUUCACAGAAGAGCUUUUAUAACCUUUCAUAACUGUAUGUAGGUUUUUUCAAUCCUGAAAUAACAAACUAUUCAGAAUUUUUAUAGAAUAAUCUUAAUUUCUCAAACCCUUUCUUGGGCAACUGGUCAAGCCAGCAGCAACUGAUAAAAUGCCAGUGCGUGGGCCAGAUUCUGAAGGGGACAUUAAGGUAUCUUCUGAAAACAGGUAAAUCAUUG
Molecule: long non-coding RNA, 4406 nt
Organism: Pezoporus occidentalis (night parrot)
Lineage: Eukaryota; Metazoa; Chordata; Aves; Psittaciformes; Psittacidae
Exons: 2
Source: RefSeq, a predicted model, not a curated record